This 238-nucleotide ribosomal RNA is filed under the name uncultured bacterium. Its description in RNAcentral is "partial 16S ribosomal RNA". It matches the Rfam family "Bacterial small subunit ribosomal RNA", at positions 524 to 759 of the family's 1533-position model. The record is from RNAcentral.
UACGUAGGGUGCAAGCGUUGUCCGGAAUUAUUGGGCGUAAAGAGCUCGUAGGCGGUCUGUCGCGUCUGCUGUGAAAACUCAGGGCUUAACCCUGAGCUUGCAGUGGGUACGGGCAGACUAGAGUGCGGUAGGGGAGACUGGAAUUCCUGGUGUAGCGGUGAAAUGCGCAGAUAUCAGGAGGAACACCGGUGGCGAAGGCGGGGUCUCUGGGCCGUAACUGACGCUGGAGGAGCGGAAA